Molecule: ribosomal RNA, 496 nt
Filed under: uncultured bacterium
Lineage: Bacteria
Description: partial 16S ribosomal RNA
Rfam family: Bacterial small subunit ribosomal RNA
Source: RNAcentral
GACGAACGCUGGCGGCGUGCCUAAUACAUGCAAGUUGAGCGAUGAAGAUUGGUGCUUGCCCCAAUUUGAAGAGCAGCGAACGGGUGAGUAACGCGUGGGGAAUCUGCCUUUGAGCGGGGGACAACAUUUGGAAACGAAUGCUAAUACCGCAUAAUAACUUUAAACAUAAGUUUUAAGUUUGAAAGAUGCAAUUGCAUCACUCAAAGAUGAUCCCGCGUUGUAUUAGCUAGUUGGUGAGGUAAAGGCUCACCAAGGCGAUGAUACAUAGCCGACCUGAGAGGGUGAUCGGCACAUUGGGACUGAGACACGGCCCAAACUCCUACGGGAGGCAGCAGUAGGGAAUCUUCGGCAAUGGACGAAAGUCUGACCGAGCAACGCCGCGUGAGUGAAGAAGGUUUUCGGAUCGUAAAACUCUGUUGGUAGAGAAGAACGUUGGUGAGAGUGGAAAGCUCAUCAAGUGACGGUAACUACCCAGAAAGGGACGGCUAACUACGUG